UAUUGAUUUUAUUAAAUUGGUUUAGAUGUGUUGGUUAAACUUAAAUUAGUAUUGGUUUAGAGAUUUUGGUUGGUUUAAUUCAAUUUUACAAAACCUGAUGGGUUAAUUGGGUAAACCAUUGAAACAAUUAACCAUUACAACCCAAAUCAUUUUACUCAUCAAACCAAUUGACCCUAUAACUCAUUUGACCCAUCAACUCAUUUGAGUCAAAAUUUUCAACUCAUUAGGGUUCAUGGAUUGAGUUGAGUUGAGUUGACCCAUGAAUUUUGACCAAUUUUCACACCCCUAUGUAUCUAUAUAUACAUUUUUGCAGCACCUUUUUAAAGAUAAUGUUUGAGAUUUGAGCCAUAAUUCAACAAUUAAUUCAAAUGGGUGAGUAUAACCUGGAUAACAUGUUUAAUUCUGUUCGGAUCUUGGAUAACAUUAAUUUUCGGAAAAGUUACCUAAAAAUAAAUAAU
Molecule: small RNA, 458 nt
Filed under: Arabidopsis thaliana (thale cress)
Lineage: Eukaryota; Viridiplantae; Streptophyta; Magnoliopsida; Brassicales; Brassicaceae
Description: ATSL043030
Source: RNAcentral